Long non-coding RNA from Drosophila pseudoobscura, 758 nucleotides. RefSeq lists it as uncharacterized. Lineage: Eukaryota; Metazoa; Arthropoda; Insecta; Diptera; Drosophilidae. The record is from RefSeq and is a predicted model, not a curated record. The transcript is spliced from 2 exons.
UUAGCAAUUGCCAAUGUGUUGGGUUAUUUCCAAAUGUGAAACUUGGGACUUGUAAUCUUCUAACUUUGGCAUUUUGAAAUCGAUUUCCUGCAGUUUUGUACGUCAUAAUCAAUUACGUUAUCGUUUCGAAUCACUUCCAAUGACUUUUCAGUCAGGCAAUCGAAAUUCCUUACCCACAAGCAAGUAAACUGCCAAGCUCCGUUUUGCUAAUAUCCUGAGAAGUCGUGAGGAGGCUACUGUCUUGGCCCAUUCGUGCCGCAUUGGGCGGAAACGUCUGUAAGCCAAGUGCAGCAGCAGACAUAAUUUGGGCGUUUUAAAUCCUCGUGUAGAAUUUAUAAUGCUCAAUGGAUUACAACUUGGACAGGGACGGAGAUUCCUAGAAGGAGAGCGAGUCAGGCUAUCUCUUGUGAGAGUAAUACUUUCUUUUUUCCAAACUUUCAUAGUUUUCUCCCUGCAGUUUUAGUUUUGCGGCCAGGCCCACACACAGAGCUACUCGUAAAAGGCAAAUGGAACAUGGGAGCAUUUUGGCUCAAGCCACAAAUAUUUGCACGGUCUCUGGUGUGGGUAGUGGUGUGGUACACCCUCACAGACAUACAGCUAAGGGAAUACACAGGAAAAAACCUGAAACUCAAUAAACGGCAGCUAUAAGCACAAUCUGAAGUCAAAGAAACAAAUCUCCAUAAUAGCACGGUUAUAGAGUGUUUUUUUUUUAUUGAUGUUAAUCCAUAAACAAUACAAUAUUCAAGUAAUGCCAUCGA